RNAcentral lists this ribosomal RNA (254 nucleotides) under uncultured bacterium. RNAcentral describes it as "partial 16S ribosomal RNA". It matches the Rfam family "Bacterial small subunit ribosomal RNA", at positions 524 to 776 of the family's 1533-position model. The record is from RNAcentral.
UACGUAGGGGGCUAGCGUUGUCCGGAAUCAUUGGGCGUAAAGAGCGUGUAGGCGGUCCGGUAAGUCCGCUGUGAAAGUCGGGGGCUCAACCCUCGAAUGCCGGUGGAUACUGUCGGGCUAGAGUGCGGAAGAGGCGAGUGGAAUUCCUGGUGUAGCGGUGAAAUGCGCAGAUAUCAGGAGGAACACCUAUUGCGAAGGCAGCUCGCUGGGACGUAACUGACGCUGGAGACGCGAAAGCGUGGGGAGCAAACAGG